GCAGAAUGUGUCACACUUGGUCCAAGCACUGGGAACCAGAGAAUUGAACGAUGGUGGUCCACCUUGAGAAGCCAGUGCAUACAGUUUUGGAUGGAUCAUUUUGACCAACUAAAAGAAGAUGGACACUUUGUUGACACUUUUAUUGAUAAAUCUCUUAUCCAGUUUUGCUUCCUGCAUUUCAUUCAGGAAGAGCUAGAUGAAACGGUCAGUGCCUGGAAUAGCCACAGGAUACGGCCAACUCACAAUCCACGUGCCCCCAGUGGUCGACCUUCAAUCAUGUUUGCUGUUCCCAUCUUAUAUGGUGUGCAGAAUUACUUGCAUCCAGUUGCAGAAAUGAAACUGAGUAUUUGCCAGGAGGAGUGUUUAUUUAAAGACUAUCCUUGUGAUGAAGAUGUCUUUCAACUAUGUGUAGAACUCAUGGCUGAGCAUAACCUUGUCAUGCCAGAUGAUGUUUAUGAAAUUACAGACCUUUACCUCCAACUUCGUGAACUGAUCCUUCAAGGACUGGACUUGGAGGACUAGAAAAUUAGGGAACCUCAAAGUUCUGAAAGGAAAAGGAAUGGCCUCAAGCUGGCUAGCUGUGCUAAUUAAGGAGUCACAACCAUUCACGAGGCAACAAACAGUAUUGAUGGCUGAACUAAGAAAAAUUACACCAUUCUUGUACAUCUGGAUAUAAACAUGGCAUCAGUCAUCAUCUCAAGAGGAUAGAGAGGAUGAACUCGAGAGCUCCAGAUUAGAGGCUCCAUUGUCCUUGUUCAGUGACAAGCAGAUCAAGGACAUCACACCAAAUCAAGAGUAUCUAAGACACAAUUAAACAAUACCAACUGUACCAACUCCAUGUACCAAUACCAACUCCAUUUCAACUGGGGAUCCUGGUUCAUAUGCUGUGGACAUAAUUAGACUCCAAGCUCCAUGAGCCUACUGUAAGUAUCCAGUAAGUAUCGCUUUAUAAUAUUAAGGUUGAAAGGUAAUUUAAGAACAGUUCAAAGCCAUUUGACUACAGGCAACAUGAACAAUUUGUAUGGUUUAUUGUAGGUUGCACCUAAACAAUGGGGAUAUUUCACAAUUAAAAGUCUGUAUAAAAAAAAAAAAAAUCUCCCAAAAAAAUAAAUAAAUAAAUAAAUAAAAUGGAUGUCCAACAUAACCAGCAACAAUGAUUAAAUUGGACAAACUAAAGUGAAUGGUUUAUGCAUACAGUAUAUCCGUUUAAAUGGAAAGGGGAAAAAAGUACAUUACAUAAAAUGUAUGAGGAUGGUCCUAUUAAAACAUUAUAACAAACAAUGUAAUUAAAGUAGUAACAAGAAAAACAUACCCAGCAUCAAGUGAACAAAUUAAAGUAAUUUUUACUUUAUGCAUGCAUGCGUAUGAUAAAUGUAAGUGUAUGUAAAUUUUACUAUGUUCAGGCCAUGAAAAACAGGUACCAUGAGUGCUGGUCAUAAAUCAUUUCCGCCACUAAAUGAUGUCCAUGACCCAGACAUUGCUUUCUAGGACUUUAUUCAUUUCCGAUCUGAAAUCUGGGUAAUUGUCAUAGUGCACUGAAAGCCUCAGGAAACAGCCACAGGUGUGUGCCACUGGUCUUCUCUCGAACCCUUUAAGGUCUGUGAAAUCAACUGUUAUAGUUUUGCCUAUAAACAAAUCUGAUCCGGUACAGAAUCUCAGAAACGGAGACUGUCGUUUUGCAUCACACUCCCGCAAGUAAGCUGACAAAUGCUUUGAAAUGUCCUUCUGGUGUGUAUUCAUUGUUUCGGGGAAUUUGAGAGAGCUAACAAUUUUUCUCACUGUUGGCUGUAGUGCACUAUACACAUCUUCAAUUUCCCCAAGGUCCUUGCGCAGAGGUCCAAGUAUGCUUGUCCACUGUUCAAGAACAUAAGCAGGCUCUUGAAUCAAAGUCUUGUGUGCCAGUUCUUGCAAAAUUUGCGUGAAGUUUUCUUCAGUAGGAAUUCUCCGACAACUGUAGUUGUCCAAGAUCUCAAGCAAUUCGUCCUGGUCUGCACUACAGAAGUCUGUUCUGCAGCCUUCUAAAACAACACGCUCAUUUUCCGAGACAUACUUCAAAAAGUUGUCAGUCAGAUCACUUUUUACAGAUCCUUGUAUUGCUUGCUCGAAGAUGACAGGUGCAAGUUUGAUUGGGAGAUAUUUCUCUUUCUUCCAGCCAAACAGAAUUAUUCGGGCAACACUUUCCCACUUUUCUUUCCCAAAAUCAUGACGAAGAAAGGGAACUUUAAAACAGUUCCCAAGUGUGCACUGACCAUAAAAUUCUUGCCAAAAUUCUGACAGGCAAUCCCUGAACACUCCACCGACGUCAUGGCCCAUCUCAAACUGCCCAUUUGGCAGGAGUAACUUCACUUCUACUUCAGUUUGUGCAUGUUCCAGUGUAUCAUCACAGAAAUGUGCAAGGAGUUCAGAAAAUAUCUGUCCACGAUGAACAACAAGAAUUUUUUUGUAUGGAACAGGGGGUUCUGGGCUUAGAGGCAAAGUGUCAUCUAAGAUUUGUUCAUCUAGUCCAGUGAGGUUUCCAGUGAAUCCGGUCACUACAUCGCUUGUAUCCAAAUCAUCUGGUGAGAUCAGUGAAGAACUUUGAAAAGGAACAUUCAGAUCAUCGGAAUCCUGCAGGUCCUCUGUGGAACGUAAGGGAGACACAUCAUCACUGUAUGCACUUUCCACAAAAAUUACAUCAGUGUCUGAAGCU
This is a long non-coding RNA of Ctenopharyngodon idella (grass carp), 2689 nucleotides long. RefSeq lists it as uncharacterized. NCBI's taxonomy places the organism in Eukaryota, Metazoa, Chordata, Actinopteri, Cypriniformes, Xenocyprididae. The transcript has 7 exons. The record is from RefSeq and is a predicted model, not a curated record.